RNAcentral lists this ribosomal RNA (467 nucleotides) under uncultured bacterium. RNAcentral describes it as "partial 16S ribosomal RNA". It matches the Rfam family "Bacterial small subunit ribosomal RNA", at positions 28 to 507 of the family's 1533-position model. The record is from RNAcentral.
GAUGAACGCUGGCGGCGUGCUUAACACAUGCAAGUCGAACGGAAAGGCCCAAGCUUGCUUGGGUACUCGAGUGGCGAACGGGUGAGUAACACGUGGGUGAUCUGCCCCGCACUUCGGGAUAAGCCUUGGAAACUGGGUCUAAUACCGGAUAGGACAGUGGUUUGGAUGCCAUUGUGGAAAGUUUUUUCGGUGUGGGAUGAGCUCGCGGCCUAUCAGCUUGUUGGUGGGGUAAUGGCCUACCAAGGCGUCGACGGGUAGCCGGCCUGUGAGGGUGUACGGCCACAUUGGGACUGAGAUAAGGCCCAGACUCCGACGGGAGGCAGCAGGGGGGAAGAUUGCACAAUGGGCGCAAGCCUGAUGAAGCGACGCCGCGUGGGGGAUGACGGCCUUCGGGUUGUAGACUCCUUUCGCUAGGGACGAAGCGUUAUGUGACGGUACCUAGAGAAGAAGCACCGGCUAACUACGUG